AGUGGCAGCCGGAGGAACUACGGCUAGAAGAUUACGUGACUUCGCUCGGCUCUAAGCUGCAGCCUAACGCCCGCUAAUGUCAGCAGAGAGAGGGAGAGGAAGUGUCCUCCGAGACAGCACACGGGAACCCACACGGCACUCCGAAGGACGUCACUAGGAGGGGGACCAGGUGUGACCCUGAAGACUGGGAGUGCCACCCUGACCAGGCUGAAGCUGACAUGAUUAGCAAGCAUCGUAACCUUGCAACCUAUGGGAACCUGAGGAACUGCAUCACAAGAGUGAAAGGGACGCCCACCCAGCACUUCUUCGAGG
RNAcentral lists this long non-coding RNA (312 nucleotides) under Ixodes scapularis (black-legged tick). RNAcentral's name for it is "uncharacterized LOC115319073". Lineage: Eukaryota; Metazoa; Arthropoda; Arachnida; Ixodida; Ixodidae. The record is from RNAcentral.